GACGAACGCUGGCGGCGUGGAUUAGGCAUGCAAGUCGGACGGUAGAGCUUUAUCGUAAGAUAGAGUUUGAGAGUGGCGAACGGGUGAGUAACACGUAGGAAUCUACCCUUAAGACGGGGACAACCCAGGGAAACUUGGGCUAAUACCGGAUGAGAGUGCGAGAGAUUGCAUUUAAAAGGAUGGCGAAAGUUGUCGCUUAGGGAUGAGCCUGCGGUCUAUUAGUUAGUUGGUGAGGUAAGAGCUCACCAAGGCGAUGAUAGAUAGGCGGCCUUAACGGGUGGUCGCCCACACUGGGAUUGAGAUACGGCCCAGACUCCUACGGGAGGCAGCAGUCGAGAAUAGUCUACAAUGGCCGGAAGGCUGAUAGUGCGACGCCGCGUGAACGAGGGAGCCCUUCGGGUCGUAAGUUACUUUUCUUAUUACGAGCAGUGCGUAUAUAUAUGGAUAGUAUAUAUAGUAGGGAGUAGUAGUAUAGGUAAGUAAAGACAACGGACGUAACUACCGUCGCCACGCACG
RNAcentral lists this ribosomal RNA (516 nucleotides) under uncultured bacterium. RNAcentral's name for it is "bacterial SSU rRNA". It matches the Rfam family "Bacterial small subunit ribosomal RNA", at positions 28 to 527 of the family's 1533-position model. The record is from RNAcentral.